UACAGAGGGUGCGAGCGUUGUCCGGAAUCACUGGGCGUAAAGGGCGCGUAGGCGGCCCGGGAAGGUUGCGGUGAAAGCCCGGGGCUCAACCCCGGGUCGGCCGUGGCAACUGCUGGGCUGGAGCACAGUAGAGGCGGGUGGAAUUCCGGGUGUAGCGGUGGAAUGCGUAGAUAUCUGGAAGAACACCAAAGGCGAAGGCAGUGUCCUGGGUGGUCGCUGACGCUGAGAGGCGAAAGCCAGGGGAGCGAACGGG
This 253-nucleotide ribosomal RNA is filed under the name uncultured bacterium. RNAcentral's name for it is "partial 16S ribosomal RNA". It matches the Rfam family "Bacterial small subunit ribosomal RNA", at positions 524 to 776 of the family's 1533-position model. The record is from RNAcentral.